This is a long non-coding RNA of Cygnus olor (mute swan), 2070 nucleotides long. RefSeq lists it as uncharacterized. Lineage: Eukaryota; Metazoa; Chordata; Aves; Anseriformes; Anatidae. The transcript is spliced from 2 exons. The record is from RefSeq and is a predicted model, not a curated record.
CAUAUGGGUAUAUUACAGUAAUGUAUGUUGAAUCUUGCACCUUUAGAUAUUAAGUAUUGAACCUGAAUGCUAAAAGAAUAUAUUAAUGUAUUAUAUUUAUGUACUAGUAGGUAAGUAAAUAUUCCUAAAUAUUAUAUUAUGCCUUCUUUCUUUUGGAAAGAAAGCCAGUUUUCCUUACUUGAGGAACUUCACCACUGAUAAACUUAAUUUCUCUUUGAAGUUAUAUACAAAAGUUGUAAACUUUACUGCAUUUUUAUAGAGUAAGUUCUUGUCAAUCUUCUAAAGUUUGUCCUCCAGUCGGUCUUUAGCUGUGAGAAUUUCUGCAUGCAGAUGAUCCAGGUCACAGCAAAAAUAUUUUAUUUAUUUCAAAUAAAACCCACUAAACUAUUUUCCCAUUUCAGAUAAUAGAAUUCUGUGAAUAAUAUUAUUGCUUUGUACUGUACAUCUAGUAUUUAAAAUAGCUUAAUCUUAUCUAGCACUAUUCCUAAUUUGUAAAUCUAUGUUCAUUGAUUUCCAUAUCCAUGGGUAGUGUUCACUACACAUAGUCAAAAUCUCACCAUAAGUACAGAGAUGGCUUUGGAUUGUUUUCCAGAAUCUGAGUCCUACAUUUGUAUAACAUUGUAGAAGUAGUUUUCAUUUACAGUAUAUGAAUGUAUUAUUCUUCCCUCUGCUUCAAAACCAUGCUUCAUAUUCUGCAAGCAGACUUGUAAUCUGCAGUGAACACAACGAAAUCGAUGGGAUUCAAUACAGGAAUCAGACACCACCUGAAUACAGUACCUUGCAAGGCUGAGGUCUCUUUUUGCUCAGCAGAAAUAAAUAUGUUUUGCUAGUGUUUCACAAUAUUUUGGGAUUAAAAGAUCUAAUUUUUGUCAUAAUCCUUGUUUCGCUUAUUGCUUUUUAUGUAUAAAAUAUUCUAGAAGCUAUGUUGAAACUUGAGAAAAUUUAUGUCCAUACAAAUGUCAGGAUUAUGUAUGUGAGUUUUACAUACCUACAUCGGGUAUAACUUUGAUAAGAAAAAGAAAUGUGUAUCAAAUAUUUUUGUAAUAAAAACUGUAUAGAUUUUUGAAAGAAUACUUAAACUUCACAAAUGUUAUAGGGCCCACUUGUCUCUGGGGCAUGUCCUCUCUUAAUUUCAGGAAUAAAUGCUGAUAACUAAGGUUUCUUUAGCCAAUAAUAGCAAAGAUAUAACUGACAGCACAAAGACAGUUGCCUUUUUUCCUAAAAGAAGCCCUGUUUUCCUCACAUUUAGUACAAUGGUAUUAUUCCUAGCAUGAAGAAAUCAGCAAUGGACCAAAAUAUAAAUACGGGCUACAAAUAUAAGAGUAUUUCCAUCAAUUACAGAUCUAAGAUUGAAACUAAAAAUGUUUUUUGUUUUCUUACAACUGUUGCUUUUACAGUCUAUUAUAUUUACACAUUUUUCCUGUAUACCCAGUGAAAUUUCCUUGCUGUUUUUAACUUCAGCUAUUUCUUUACAUUUUAUAGCAUAGGUAGCUAAACCACUCAUUUCCUCCUGAAAACAGUAAGAAAGUGUUAGGGAUCAGCAGAGAUGCAUUUUCUUUAUGUGUCUCUCACCACAAUUUAACUGUGCUAACACAUCAUAGACUUUUCCAAAGAAAACAGAAAGCGUUAGGCAUUCUCAAAGGGUAGGUGACUGGAUAGAUUCUGGUGUAUGGACUCAAAUCUUUUACAAUAUGUGGCAUAAAGAAAAAAAUGGUAACCAAACUGGAACAUGCUGGUCCCCACCUGCAAAUACUGCAUAGUUUGUACUACCUCAGCAUUCUUUUUUCUUCCAUCCUAAAUGAAUGCCAUGACUGGUUCUGCAAGUCAGCCCACAAACACUGGUAGGGCUGGGCGAGGGAGCGACCCACUGCCUGCUUGGGGCAAGAAGAGAGGCAAGGACGUGUCUCUGAAGGUCUGCUUCCACUUCUUGCCAAGGUUUGAUGCACUGAUGAGAUUUAAGAAAAAUGCUGAAAGAUUUAGACUGCAAUUCUGAAACCGUUUGAAGUAUUUUUGUAUAGAAAUUGACUUUCUUAAUGCUAUUUGUCUACUUUUUCUCCAAACAUCACAAAA